RNAcentral lists this ribosomal RNA (254 nucleotides) under uncultured bacterium. RNAcentral's name for it is "partial 16S ribosomal RNA". It matches the Rfam family "Bacterial small subunit ribosomal RNA", at positions 524 to 776 of the family's 1533-position model. The record is from RNAcentral.
UACGGAGGGGCUAGCGUUAGGUUCGGAAUUACUGGGCGUAAAGCGCACGUAGGCGGCUUUGCAAGUCAGAGGUGAAAGCCCGGGGCUCAACCCGGAAUUGCCUUUGAGACUGCAUCGCUAGAAUUGUGGAGAGGUAAGUGGAAUUCCGAGUGGUAGAGGUGAAAUUCGUAGAUAUUCGGAAGAACACCAGUGGCGAAGGCGACUUACUGGACACAUAUUGACGCUGAGGUGCGAAAGCGUGGGGAGCAACAGGG